Molecule: ribosomal RNA, 468 nt
Filed under: uncultured bacterium
Lineage: Bacteria
Description: partial 16S ribosomal RNA
Rfam family: Bacterial small subunit ribosomal RNA
Source: RNAcentral
GACGAACGCUGGCGGCGUGCUUAACACAUGCAAGUCGAACGGAAAGGCCCUGCUUUUGUGGGGUGCUCGAGUGGCGAACGGGUGAGUAACACGUGAGUAACCUGCCCUUGACUUUGGGAUAACUUCAGGAAACUGGGGCUAAUACCGGAUAGGAGCUCCUGCUGCAUGGUGGGGGUUGGAAAGUUUCGGCGGUUGGGGAUGGACUCGCGGCUUAUCAGCUUGUUGGUGGGGUAGUGGCUUACCAAGGCUUUGACGGGUAGCCGGCCUGUGAGGGUGACCGGCCACAUUGGGCCUGCGAUACGGCCCAGAGUCCUACGGGAGGCAGAAGUGGGGAAUAUUGCACAAUGGGCGGAAGCCUGAUGCAGAAACGCCGCGUGCGGGAUGACGGCCUUCGGGUUGUAAACCGCUUUCGCCUGUGACGAAGCGUGAGUGACGGUAAUGGGUAAAGAAGCACCGGCUAACUACGUG